UCCGGUUGAUCCUGCCGGAGGUCACCGCUAUUAGGAUACGCUUAAGCCAUGCGAGUCAAAGAGCAAUCUUGGCGCACCGCUCAGUAACACGUGGACAAUCUACCCUUCGGUGGGGGAUAAUCUUGGGAAACUGAGGAUAAUACCCCAUAGGUCUAGGAUGCUGGAAUGCUUCUAAACUAAAAGUUCCGACGCCGAAGGAUGAGUCUGCGGCCUAUCAGGUUGUAGCAAGUGUAACGCACUUGUUAGCCUACAACGGGUACGGGCCAUGAGAGUGGUUGCCCGGAGAUGGACUCUGAGACAUGAGUCCAGGCCCUACGGGGCGCAGCAGGCGCGAAAACUUCGCAAUGUGCGCAAGCACGACGAGGGAAUCCUAAGUGCCUAUGCUUUGCAUAGGCUGUUCUCCUGUCUAAAAAACAGGGGGAGUAAGGGCUGGGUAAGACGGGUGCCAGCCGCCGCGGUAAUACCCGCAGCCCAAGUGGUGAUCGUUAUUA
RNAcentral lists this ribosomal RNA (491 nucleotides) under uncultured archaeon. Its description in RNAcentral is "bacterial SSU rRNA". It matches the Rfam family "Archaeal small subunit ribosomal RNA", at positions 1 to 503 of the family's 1478-position model. The record is from RNAcentral.